RNAcentral lists this long non-coding RNA (3458 nucleotides) under Capsicum annuum. RNAcentral's name for it is "long non-coding RNA (CANN_LNC000601)". The record is from RNAcentral. Lineage: Eukaryota; Viridiplantae; Streptophyta; Magnoliopsida; Solanales; Solanaceae.
UCUCUAAAAGGGUCGGAUGCAUCACCAACUCCCUCCCCUGUUCUUGGCUGCUCCUAAUUUAUAGCUCAAAUAUAUCUGCAGCUAUUCGAUUCUUCUUCGGUCCCCCCCGCCCCACCUCUUCAGUUUCUCCAUUAAAAUGAAUAUAUUCUAAGCGGAUAAAUUUCAUCAAAUAUCUCUCAACUAGUGAACAUAUUCACCCUUCGUGCGAUUCUCAAUAUUUCUUCUUCUUCAUCUUCUUCUUCUGUUUCUGUUUUUUCUUUUCAUAAAAAAAUGAUAAAAAAAAAUUAUUGUUGAUUGAUAAAGUAAAUGUAUAUAUAUUAGUGCCUGUAGCUUUACAACAUUUAUUUCUAUAAGAAAACGAGUUUUUACAAAUAACUGCACACAUACACGCGCACACACAAAAAAUUAACAUGCUAAUAAUUACUAGUUUGUCUAACCUCCGUUCUUUUUAAAUAGAUUAUCUGAAAGCAAAAUCAAGAGGUGAUAAAAAUACCAGACAAUUUGACAAAUGAAAGAACAAAAAAGAAAAAAAAAGAAAAAUAAUUUCUCUUUCCAAAGUUGAUAACCCCCGAAACAUACAUCAUUUAUCUUACCAAAUUCAACAUUAUAUUUUAUCAAUAUACGCACCUAAAAGGAACAAUAUCAACAAGAACAUAUUUAAUGUAUUUUCACAAAGUGGGGUCUAGGAAGGAUAAAGUGUACGCAAUUCAUAGCACUACUUCAGAUGAUGUACAGAGACUAUUUUUGAUAGACACUCAACUUAGGAUAUAUAACAGUAUAAUAAAUAAAAAUAUAAGAAUAAACAACAAAAUGAGAUAACACACCACUAGAUAAUAAAAGAAACAAGACAUCGACAGAGUAACUCUACAAACUAUAUAUUCAAACUAACAAAUAUCAUCAGAAUACUACGAACAAAAAACUAUAAAAAAAAAAAAAAGGAAGGAAAAGAAAGGAAAAAUCAAAAGAAAGAAAGAAAAUAUAGUGAAACCAAAAACCAAAACAAUAAGAACAUAAUUUUUUGGGGUUUGGUAUAUCUUUGUUCUGGCUCUCUCCUAUCUCCAUUCUCUUCUCUAUUUUUGUUUCAUUUUAAAAUUAGAGAAAAAACUCAAAAAAAUCACACACACAAAAAAUAAUUCUACGCUUUAGAGAGCAUCACAUAAAUGGCUCUAUGAUUCUCUAAUAAAGUGAAUCUCUCCCACUUCAUCUUCAAUUUCUCCAUUGAAAUUUCAUCCGAUUCAUUGUAACUCCCAAAUGUCAAUUUACUGAUAAUCCCUUAUUUUACAUAUCAUUCCUUAUUUUUCUCAAAAGAAAUUGAAUUCGACAGCGGUCCCAACGAAAUGAAAUUGUUACUAAAAAGAAUCAAUGAAGGUUAAGAAGAGUAGUGUGUCGUUGAUUUCAUGAGGUAUCCACCAUUAGUGGUGGGAUGGUAGUGUUGUAGAUGAAAGAUAAGGUCUUACCAGUUUUUGACUCUAUAGUGAUGCGUUUGAAAUUAUUAUAACAACUUACAAUCUAAGGUACAAUAAUAAUGUAUUUGAUUGAGAUUUAAAGUCGUGAUAUAUAGAUAUUUGUGUAUCAAAAAAUGCAAAAUAAAAAGGGGGAUAUUGUGGCUAAAAGAAGCAAAGGAGUUGAAGUUAUAUCGACUUCGAGGGAUCCCCUUAAGAAGAUAAUAAAGAUAGGUAUCAGAAGACGCAAAAAAAAUAAAAUCGAAUGUUGCAGCUAAAAAACCAAAAGAGUAGAAGAUACAUCAAGGAUCCCAUUAAGAAUAUAAUAAAGCUAUGUCUUUGAGUCAUUUCCAUUGUAUUAUUUCCAUGUUACUGAUACAUAGACAUAUAUAUGUGACUAAACUUAUGUAUCUGACUAAUAUUCAUGUUACUGAGACAUAUAAUCAUGUUCAUGAUAUAUUACGCUUUUACCUAUGAAUCUGCAAUUAAUUAUGUAUCAUGUAUUAAUUUUGGUCAUAAUACAUUGUAAUACAUCUCAUAUUACACAUUAUGUAUUUGUAGCAGGCUACAUACAUAUAUUUCUGCUAUUUUUAUAUUAAAUUCAUUUGAGAUGUUCAUGAUGUAUCGGGAAAACAAAAAUCGAAAUUAAAAAUAGAGAUGAAAGAAAUUGGAAAGAAUUUACAUGAGCUAGCUUGAUUUGGUAUUUAAAAUUUAAAUUUUUGAAUUUGUUAUGUGUUAUUAGAGAUACAACAGCCGUCAUUAAAAUGUGACCGCGUGACUUGCUCGGCAAUUGAUUAUAUUUCCGCUAUUUUUCUUAUUAAAUUCAAUUGAUUGUUUAGUUAUGUAUCAAAAAUGUGAUGUAUUCAAAGCAAUAUGAUAUAUUCGAAAUCUCAAAAUUAGAAAUUUUAUAUAAUUUUGAAAAGAGUCAAAAUAAAGAGUAAUUAACUACUAAAGAGUUGAGGUUUAUGAACCUUGCUCUAAUAAAAAUUGGGCUAGUUGAAUUUUGACCCGCAUUUUGAUCCAUUCCAAUCUAACUCAUUUCAGCCUAAGUAACUUUUUGACAGAUUAAUAAUUCGUCUAUUUAUUAACUCAAUUCAUCUUGACCUGUAUAAAUCCGGCCAUUUAUCACCUUUAGAUUGUACUAUUCCCUUGUUUAAGAAAUAUAAUAAUUUCCUUUUUCUAUAUCUUUAUCAUGCUAUUUAAAAGCAUAAUUUGUUUUUUCUUAAACUCUCUCUAUUAUAUUUCUACCUUAUGCCUCUGUCCUCUAAUCAAGGUGAAUACAGUACUUAGCUUUUGUCAGUUAGUUACAACCAUUGCCAAACACCACUUUUCCCAGAUUUUACGUUUAGCCAAAGAUAAAAGAAUGUUUAGAUAUUUGUUGAAAAAAAGGACAUAUUAUUACACAAUAAACUUACAAACAAACAUACAAAUUGCCUCAAGGUACUGUACAAAGGUAGAAAUACAUGAGAAACAGCAAGACCCAGAAGGUUCAUGGCUACCACGAACUCGAAAUUCCUAACAUUAGCAAGACCAUUUAGAGAUAGAGGCAAGUUAGGAGCACCUUAAAAAAAUUCAUUAUCAAGUAGAGUUACGUUCACUUGUUCAUAUGUUGGAAGACAAUAGAAAAGAAAUUUGUCGACAGAAUCAGAAUGAAAUAUCACCAUAAAAGAGGUAUAAUAUCAAAAAUAAAAACAUUUUCACAUAUGCUCCCCACUAUGCACAGGAGCAUAUAUGUUCUUUUUUUUCCUCAAGUAAAAUAUUAAACUAUGUUCUCUUAUUCUUUUUUUCAAUUAAAGUUUGUCAAUUUCUUGAUAUUGUAAACAAAUUUCUUGAUAUUGAAAUAUGCACACAUUUUUUGGUACCUUUAUUUUGCAGAAAUUGGAAAUAUAAUUUAAGCUUGGGAAAUAAUAUAUAUAUAUAUUUACCUUGUUCACAAAAAAACACAUCUUCACCCAGACAAAAUUCCCAGAUGAUAUUUUCUGUAUCGUAUGUCCUGUGUUCAAAGAUCGCCUUCUC